RNAcentral lists this ribosomal RNA (479 nucleotides) under Acidobacteria bacterium enrichment culture DGGE gel band B8. RNAcentral's name for it is "bacterial SSU rRNA". It matches the Rfam family "Bacterial small subunit ribosomal RNA", at positions 974 to 1460 of the family's 1533-position model. Lineage: Bacteria; Pseudomonadati; Acidobacteriota. The record is from RNAcentral.
CCUACGGAAAUAGUAGUGGACCGGGGUUAGAAACAUCCCUUCCCCGCAAGGGGCUGCUAUAUAGGUGCUGCAUGGCUGUCGUCAGCUCGUGUCGUGAGAUGUUGGGUUAAGUCCCGCAACGAGCGCAACCCUUAUCUCCAGUUGCUACCAUUUAGUUGAGCACUCUGGCGAAACCGCCUCGGAUAACGGGGAGGAAGGUGGGGAUGACGUCAAGUCCUCAUGGCCUUUAUGUCCAGGGCUACACACAUGCUACAAUGGCCGGUACAAACCGUCGCAAACCCCCGAGGGGGAGCUAAUCGGAAAAAGCCGGCCUCAGUUCGGAUUGCAAUCUGCAACUCUACUGGGUGGACCUGGAAGGACUAAUAGGGGGAAUCAAAACACCCCGGUGAAUACCUUCCCUGACUUGUACACACCCCCCGUACUCACCAAUUGGGUUGCACUAGAACCUGUCGCCUAACCCCACGGGAGCACCCCUCCUA